Unclassified non-coding RNA from Macaca fascicularis (crab-eating macaque), 148 nucleotides. It matches the Rfam family "Metazoan signal recognition particle RNA". From Rfam's summary of the family: The signal recognition particle (SRP) is a universally conserved ribonucleoprotein. It is involved in the co-translational targeting of proteins to membranes. The eukaryotic SRP consists of a 300-nucleotide 7S RNA and six proteins: SRPs 72, 68, 54, 19, 14, and 9. NCBI's taxonomy places the organism in Eukaryota, Metazoa, Chordata, Mammalia, Primates, Cercopithecidae. The record is from Ensembl.
GCUAGGUGAGGUGGCGCACGCCUGUAGUCCCAGCUACUCGGGAGGCUGAGAUGGGAGGAUCACCUGAGCCCAGGAGGUUGAGACUGUAGUGAGCUGUGAUUGUACCACUGCACUCCAGCCUGGGCAACAGAGUGAGACCCUAUCUCAA